AUUGAACGCUGGCGGCAGGCUUAACACAUGCAAGUCGAGCGGGGGAAGGUAGCUUGCUACUGGACCUAGCGGCGGACGGGUGAGUAAUGCUUAAGAAUCUGCCUAUUAGUGGGGGACAACAUCUCGAAAGGGAUGCUAAUACCGCAUACGUCCUACGGGAGAAAGCAGGGGAUCUUCGGACCUUGCGCUAAUAGAUGAGCCUAAGUCGGAUUAGCUAGUUGGCGGGGUAAAGGCCUACCAAGGCGACGAUCUGUAGCGGGUCUGAGAGGAUGAUCCGCCACACUGGGACUGAGACACGGCCCAGACUCCUACGGGAGGCAGCAGUGGGGAUUAUUGGACAAUGGGGGGAACCCUGAUCCAGCCAUGCCGCGUGUGUGAAGAAGGCCUUAUGGUUGUAAAGCACUUUAAGCGAGGAGGAGGCUACUUUAGUUAAUACCUAGAGAUAGUGGACGUUACUCGCAGAAUAAGCACCGGCUAACUCUGUGCCAGCAGCCGCAGUAA
This 501-nucleotide ribosomal RNA is filed under the name uncultured bacterium. RNAcentral describes it as "partial 16S ribosomal RNA". It matches the Rfam family "Bacterial small subunit ribosomal RNA", at positions 30 to 523 of the family's 1533-position model. The record is from RNAcentral.